This 497-nucleotide ribosomal RNA is filed under the name uncultured bacterium. Its description in RNAcentral is "partial 16S ribosomal RNA". It matches the Rfam family "Bacterial small subunit ribosomal RNA", at positions 28 to 507 of the family's 1533-position model. The record is from RNAcentral.
GAUGAACGCUGGCGGCGUGCCUAAUACAUGCAAGUCGAGCGAACGGACGAGAAGCUUGCUUCUCUGAUGUUAGCGGCGGACGGGUGAGUAACACGUGGAUAACCUACCUAUAAGACUGGGAUAACUUCGGGAAGCCGGAGCUAAUACCGGAUGAUAUUUUGAACCGCAUGGUUCAAAAGUGAAAGACGGUCUUGCUGUCACUUAUAGAUGGAUCCGCGCUGCAUUAGCUAGUUGGUAAUGUAACGGCUUACCAAGGCAACGAUGCAUAGCCGACCUGAGAGGGUGAUCGGCCACACUGGAACUGAGACACGGUCCAGACUCCUACGGGAGGCAGCAGUAGGGAAUCUUCCGCAAUGGGCGAAAGCCUGACGGAGCAACGCCGCGUGAGUGAUGAAGGUCUUCGGAUCGUAAAACUCUGUUAUUAGGGAAGAACAUAUGUGUAAGUAACUGUGCACAUCUUGACGGUACCUAAUCAGAAAGCCACGGCUAACUACGUG